AUGAUGUUGAAAGUCAGGCAAGGUCCCAUCUUCCAGAAAGCUGACAUUCUUGAGGGAUAUUGACUAUAAACAAAGACGGAAGCAGCAGCACCCAAACAAUUUGAGAACAUUCUAGAUUCUUCAGUGGUAUUUAUCAGGUGGAGACAAGUGAUUGUCUUCCAUACUUUCACCAAUGGUCUCAUGACCUUUCAUAGCUACCAGCCGUAAUACAGAGGGAGGAAAGUGACCACUGUGGGAAAGUUGGCAUGGAUGUGUCUCUUCGGGCUCUACAGUAACUCUUUGAAAGUGGUAUUAUAGUCUCUACUUAAAAUGGAGAAUCCAUGGCUGUGCAGUAAACCAGUCCCCAAGAUCCCUCAGAGUCCAGAAUUUGAACCCAGCUUCAUAAAUGUACAGAGUCCCCACUCUUUCCAUCGUACCAGGAAAGGGGGCCACACUCCAGCUCAUCUGAUAUAGGAGGAGAAGGAGACUGAAAGGAAAAAGUGGAACAAUGACCUACCAUCAUCCAUGAGCUGAAUUUACCCAUCUGUUGCUCCUCUCCAGAGGAAAAUGGGACUCACCAUCUAAUGGAUGUUCUCACCUCAUAAUAGUUCAAAGUCUUGGGAAAUUUUCCCUUUGAAGUUAGAUCUGUCUUUUUUUUUUUUUUUUUUUAAAUUUAUCACUGUUAGAGCUAUACUUUUAAACACAUUUUCUUGAAACUUCUGAUUAUCUCUUACAUGUUCUCUUGUCUCAUCUACGCUUUAAUUAGUUCAACAUAUGCCACAGUGUGUGUGUGGAAUACAUAUUAUGGAAAAGAUCUUUGAGAAUUUCUCCACGUAUGGAAAUGGCAAUUAAAAACCAAUUCUGUUCGGCUGGGAAAAUGAAGCCACAGGGGCAAGCAUACCUUUUUUAAAAAUGUUCAGCAAUAUCAAAUAAACCUUGGCUAAGCAAAAUAUAUUUUCCCAUGGACUCAUAACAAGAUGAAGGGUGAGAAUAGCUAAAAUGACAACAUGUUUGCAAACUUCCUGAGUGUGCUGCCAUAAAUUGCACCAUCAAUGCACAGAGGCACCAUGGAGGUUGAUCAGUGGGAGAGAAGACUGCUCGUAAACUUCUCUGCAUGGCAUUCGACACCAAGAACAUGUCGUGAGCAUUCCCGGCACCACUGCUAUGAAACACAAUCAAAUUUUCAUCUUCCAGAAAAAUAUAAAUUAGAUGUGCCUGGGCCUUAACAACAACAACAAAAAAAAAACCAAACAAAUAAAUCAACUGUGAACUGUC
Non-coding RNA from Ictidomys tridecemlineatus (thirteen-lined ground squirrel), 1254 nucleotides. NCBI's taxonomy places the organism in Eukaryota, Metazoa, Chordata, Mammalia, Rodentia, Sciuridae. The record is from RefSeq and is a predicted model, not a curated record.